UGAUCAAGCGUUAAAGGGCAUUCAGGGGAUGCCUUGGCGCCAAGAGCUGAUGAAGGACGUAGUUGGUUGCGAUAAGCGACGGGAAGCCGCCAACAGGCGUUGAUCCGUUGAUGUCCGAAUCGGGAAACCGGGCGCGGAGCAAUCCGCGUCAUCCUCCGCUGAAUACAUAGGCGGAAGGAAGGCAACGCAGGGAACUGAAACAUCUCAGUACCUGUAGGAACAGAAAGCAGAGCGAUUCCCUGAGUAGCGGCGAGCGAAAAGGGAACAGCCUAAACCGGAUGGGUGUCAAGCCCGCAGGCGUUGCCCAUCCGGGGUUGCGGGACAUGAUUGGGCCGGGUUGCGGACCGGCCGGGGAGUCAAAAAAUCCAAUCUUAGCCGAAGGGCCUGGGAAGGCCCGCCAUAGUGGGUGAGAGCCCCGUAGGCGAAAAGAGCGGAUCUCCCUGGAUUAUGUUCCCAAGUAUCGCGGGGCACGUGAAACCCAGCGUGAAUCAGGGUGGACCAUCAUCCAAGGCUAAAUACUACUUGGCGACCGAUAGUGAACGAGUACCGUGAGGGAAAGGUGAAAAGAACCCCUGUUAGGGGAGUUCAAAGAAUCUGAAACUGAAUGCCUACAAGCAGUGGGAGCCCAAUGCCCGCAAGGGAAAGGGUGACCGCGUACCUUUUGCAUAAUGAGCCAGCGAGUUACUGUGCGUGGCAAGGUUAAGCCGUAAGGUGGAGCCGGAGCGAAAGCGAGUCCGAAAUGGGCGUCUAGUCGCGCGUUGUAGACCCGAAGCCGCAGUGAUCUAUCCAUGACCAGGGUGAAACGGGGGUAACACCUCGUGGAGGCCCGAACCGGUGCAUGUUGAAAAAUGUUCGGAUGAGUUGUGGAUAGGGGUGAAAGGCCAAACAAACUCGGCGAUAGCUGGUUCUCCCCGAAAUAUAUUUAGGUAUAGCCUCAUGUAAUAGUUUAUGGCCGUAGGGCUCUGAUUGGGCUAGGGGUCUCACCAGGCUACCAAACCCUGUCAAUCUUCGAAGACCAUAAACCGUACCAUGGGAGACAGACGGCGGGUGAUAAGAUCCGUCGUCGAGAGGGAAACAACCCAGACCAUCAGCUAAGGCCCCAAAGACCGGGCUAAGUGGAGAAGGUUGUGGGGACGCUUAGACAGCCAGGAGGUUGGCUUAGAAGCAGCCAUCCUUUAAAGAAAGCGUAAUAGCUCACUGGUCAAGCGGCCCUGCGCCGAAAAUUCAACGGGGCUAAAGCCCGGCGCCGAAGCUAUGGACUCCGCAAGGAGUGGUAGGGGAGCGUUCCAUGUGGGAUGAAGUUCGACCGCGAGGACGGGUGGACUGCAUGGAAGUGAGAAUGCUGGCAUGAGUAACGAUAAACCGGGUGAGAAACCCGGUCGCCGUAAACCCAAGGGUUCCUGAGGAAGGUUAAUCCGCUCAGGGUUAGUCGGCCCCUAAGGCGAGGCCGAAAGGCGUAGCUGAUGGGAAACAGGUUAAUAUUCCUGUACUGUCUGUGUUCCGUUAUUACGACGGGGUGACGCAGUAGGGUAGGUCAGCCGGGCGAUGGUUGUCCCGGUACAAGCGUGUAGGAGGGGUUUCCAGGCAAAUCCGGAAGCCCACUACUCCGAGACGUUACGUGGCCCAAAGCCUACGGGCUGAGGGUAACUGAUUGAUCCCACACUGCCGAGAAAAACCUCUAAGGAGGAGCAUGGAUAACCGUACCCGAAACCGACACAGGUGGGUGAGGAGAGAAUCCUAAGGCGCUUGAGAGAACUCUGGUUAAGGAACUUAGCAAAUUUACUCCGUAACUUCGGAAGAAGGAGUGCCUCCUGUACGUGAAAGGGCUUGCCCCCGUAGCGGAAGGAGGUCGCAGCGAAGAGGCAGCCGCGACUGUUUACUAAAAACACAGGUCUCUGCUAAGCCGUAAGGCGAAGUAUAGGGACUGACGCCUGCCCGGUGCCGGAAGGUUAACAGGAGGCGUUAGCCGCAAGGCGAAGCGCUGAAUCGAAGCCCCGGUAAACGGCGGCCGUAACUAUAACGGUCCUAAGGUAGCGAAAUUCCUUGUCGGGUAAGUUCCGACCUGCACGAAUGGCGUAACGAAGGCUGCACUGUCUCAACCAGGGACUCAGUGAAAUUGAUUUACCGGUGAAAACGCCGGUUACCCGCGACAGGACGGAAAGACCCCGUGCACCUUUACUAUAACCUGGUACUGAAACUUGGGUCGGCAUGUGUAGGAUAGGUGGGAGACUUUGAAGCCAGGACGCUAGUCUUGGUGGAGUCAACCUUGAAAUACCACCCUUGUUGUUCUGAUUUUCUAACUUAAGCCCCUGAAUCGGGGAUAAGGACAAUGCCAGGCGGGUAGUUUGACUGGGGCGGUCGCCUCCUAAAGAGUAACGGAGGCGCGCGAAGGUUCCCUCAGGCUGAUUGGAAACCAGCCGACGAGUGCAAAAGCAUAAGGGAGCUUGACUGCGAGACCCACAAGUCGAGCAGGUACGAAAGUAGGCUUUAGUGAUCCGGUGGUCCCGUAUGGAAGGGCCAUCGCUCAACGGAUAAAAGGUACGCCGGGGAUAACAGGCUGAUCGCGUCCAAGAGUCCAUAUCGACGACGCGGUUUGGCACCUCGAUGUCGGCUCACCGCAUCCUGGGGCUGAAGCAGGUCCCAAGGGUUGGUCUGUUCGCCCAUUAAAGCGGUACGCGAGCUGGGUUUAGAACGUCGUGAGACAGUUCGGUCCCUAUCCGUCGUGGGCGCUGGAUAUUUGAGGGGAUCUGUCCCUAGUACGAGAGGACCGGGAUGUACCGACCUCUAGUGUUCCGAUUGUCCCGCCAGGGGCAUAGUCGGGUAGCUACGUCGGGAAAGGAUAACCGCUGAAAGCAUCUAAGUGGGAAACCUACCCCAAGAUUAGAUAUCCCCAUUAGGCGCCUCGUAGACCACGAGGUUGAUAGGCCAGGCGUGGAAGCGCUGUGAGGCGUGAAGCUUACUGGUACUAAUAGCCGAUUGGCUUGAUCUUAAAA
Molecule: ribosomal RNA, 2993 nt
Filed under: Nitrospinota bacterium
Lineage: Bacteria; Pseudomonadati; Nitrospinota
Description: 23S ribosomal RNA
Rfam family: Bacterial large subunit ribosomal RNA
Source: RNAcentral